This 333-nucleotide ribosomal RNA is filed under the name uncultured bacterium. RNAcentral's name for it is "bacterial SSU rRNA". It matches the Rfam family "Bacterial small subunit ribosomal RNA", at positions 568 to 898 of the family's 1533-position model. The record is from RNAcentral.
UGCGCAGGCGGUUCGUUGCGUGGGUGGUGAAAUCUCCUGGCUCAACUGGGAGGGGGCCAUCCAAACGGGCGAACUUGAGGCGUGGAGAGGGACGUGGAAUUCCGGGUGGAGCGGUGAAAUGCGUAGAGAUCCGGAGGAACACCGACGGCGAAGGCAGCGUCCUGGCCACUUGCCUGACGCUCAGGCACGAAAGCUGGGGGAGCAAACAGGAUUAGAUACCCUGGUAGUCCCAGCUGUAAACGAUGUCCACCAGGUGCUGGAGGUAUCGACCCCUUCGGUGCCGAAGCUAACGUGAUGAGUGGACCGCCUGGGGAGUACGGCCGCAAGGUUAAA